CCUACGGGAGGCUGCAGUGGGGAAUAUUGCACAAUGGGGGAAACCCUGAUGCAGCAACGCCGCGUGAGUGAAGAAGUAUUUCGGUAUGUAAAGCUCUAUCAGCAGGGAAGAAGCAAGACGGUACCUGACUAAGAAGCCCCGGCUAACUACGUGCCAGCAGCCGCGGUAAUACGUAGGGGGCAAGCGUUAUCAGGAUUUACUGGGUGGAAAGGGAGCGUAGGCGGCUGUGCAAUUCUGAAGUGAAAGCCCGUGGCUCAACCGCGGAACUGCUUUGGAAACUGUAUAGCUUGAGGACUGGAGAGGCAGGCGGAAGUCCUAGUUUAGCGGUGAAAUGCGUAGAUAUUAGGAGGAACACCAGUGGCGAAGGCGGACUGCUGGACAGAAACUGACGUUGAGGCUCGAAAGCGUGGGGAGCAAACAGGAUUAGAUACCCCAGUAGUC
Molecule: ribosomal RNA, 441 nt
Filed under: uncultured bacterium
Lineage: Bacteria
Description: partial 16S ribosomal RNA
Rfam family: Bacterial small subunit ribosomal RNA
Source: RNAcentral